This 468-nucleotide ribosomal RNA is filed under the name uncultured bacterium. RNAcentral's name for it is "bacterial SSU rRNA". It matches the Rfam family "Bacterial small subunit ribosomal RNA", at positions 28 to 507 of the family's 1533-position model. The record is from RNAcentral.
GAUGAACGCUGGCGGCGUGCUUAACACAUGGCAACGUCGAACGAAGUGGAUGUCUUCGGACUGAAACUUAGUGGCGGACGGGUGAGUAACGCGUGGGUAACCCUGCCUCGUACAGGGGGAUAACAGUUAGAAAUGACUGCUAAAUACCGGCAUAACCCGCUAAGGUCGCAUGACCUGGACGGAAAAGAUUUAUCGGUACGAGAUGGACCCGCGUCUGAUUAGCUAGUUGGUGAGGUAACGGCCCACCAAGGCGACGAUCAGUAGCCGACCUGAGAGGGGUGAUCGGCCACAUUGGGACUGAGACACGGCCCAAACUCCUACGGGAGGCAGCAGUGGGGAAUAUUGCACAAUGGGGGAAACCCUGAUGCAGCAACGCCGCGUGAGUGAUGAAGUAUUUCGGUAUGUAAAACUCUAUCAGCAGGGAAGAAAUUGACAGUACCUGACUAAGAAGCCCCGGCUAACUACGUG